GACGAACGCUGGCGGCGUGCUUAACACAUGCAGGUCGAACGGAAAGGCCCUGCUUUUGUGGGGUGCUCGAGUGGCGAACGGGUGAGUAACACGUGAGUAACCUGCCCUUGACUUUGGGAUAACUUCAGGAAACUGGGGCUAAUACCGGAUAGGAGCUCCUGCUGCAUGGUGGGGGUUGGAAAGUUUCGGCGGUUGGGGAUGGACGCGCGGCUUAUCAGCUUGUUGGUGGGGUAGUGGCUUACCAAGGCUUUGACGGGUAGCCGGCCUGAGAGGGUGACCGGCCACAUUGGGACUGAGAUACGGCCCAGACUCCUACGGGAGGCAGCAGUGGGGAAUAUUGCACAAUGGGCGGAAGCCUGAUGCAGCAACGCCGCGUGCGGGAUGACGGCCUUCGGGUUGUAAACCGCUUUCGCCUGUGACGAAGCGUGAGUGACGGUAAUGGGUAAAGAAGCACCGGCUAACUACGUG
Molecule: ribosomal RNA, 468 nt
Filed under: uncultured bacterium
Lineage: Bacteria
Description: partial 16S ribosomal RNA
Rfam family: Bacterial small subunit ribosomal RNA
Source: RNAcentral